GUUUGUGUUGUAUGGUGGUUUGAGCAUUGGAUUACAACUCUAGAGGCCAGGGUUCAAAUCCCCACUUAGCCA
Non-coding RNA from Phrynosoma platyrhinos (Desert horned lizard), 72 nucleotides. The record is from the annotation of a GenBank genome assembly. Lineage: Eukaryota; Metazoa; Chordata; Lepidosauria; Squamata; Phrynosomatidae.